Molecule: ribosomal RNA, 252 nt
Filed under: uncultured bacterium
Lineage: Bacteria
Description: partial 16S ribosomal RNA
Rfam family: Bacterial small subunit ribosomal RNA
Source: RNAcentral
UACGAACUGUGCGAACGUUAUUCGGAAUCACUGGGCGUACAGGGUGCGUAGGCGGCUUGGUAAGUAGGGUGUGAAAGCCCCGGCUCAACCGGGGAAUUGCGCCCUAAACUGGCGAGCUGGAGUGAGAUAGGGGUGUGUGGAACUUCCGGUGGAGCGGUGAAAUGUGUUGAUAUCGGAAGGAACGCCGGUGGCGAAAGCGACACACUGGAUCUUGUCUGACGCUGAGGCACGAAGGUCAGGGGAGCAAACGGG